ACUCCAUGAUGAACAAACGACAAGCAUAUGGCUGAGUCCUGAAUGAUGUCAUCUUAACUCUGAGAAGU
Heterocephalus glaber (naked mole-rat) is the source of this 68-nucleotide small nucleolar RNA. Its record names the gene SNORD27. It matches the Rfam family "Small nucleolar RNA SNORD27". Rfam says of the family: U27 is a member of the C/D class of snoRNA which contain the C (UGAUGA) and D (CUGA) box motifs. U27 is encoded within the U22 snoRNA host gene (UHG) in mammals and is thought to act as a 2'-O-ribose methylation guide for ribosomal RNA. This family also contains several related snoRNAs from yeast and plants. Lineage: Eukaryota; Metazoa; Chordata; Mammalia; Rodentia; Bathyergidae. The record is from Ensembl.